Molecule: ribosomal RNA, 1261 nt
Filed under: Salmonella enterica subsp. enterica serovar Typhimurium
Lineage: Bacteria; Pseudomonadati; Pseudomonadota; Gammaproteobacteria; Enterobacterales; Enterobacteriaceae
Description: partial 23S ribosomal RNA
Rfam family: Bacterial large subunit ribosomal RNA
Source: RNAcentral
AAAUACUCCUGACUGACCGAUAGUGAACCAGUACCGUGAGGGAAAGGCGAAAAGAACCCCGGCGAGGGGAGUGAAAAAGAACCUGAAACCGUGUACGUACAAGCAGUGGGAGCCCCACCACUAAGCCAGUGGUGAACUCCACAUCCGCAUCCUUUGCUGAGGAUACGGUUAACGGAGCGAAAGCGACGUUCAACCGCAAAACAAGCAGAGGGGGCUUAGUGGUGGGGUGACUGCGUACCUUUUGUAUAAUGGGUCAGCGACUUAUAUUCUGUAGCAAGGUUAACCGAAUAGGGGAGCCGGAGGGAAACCGAGUCUUAAUUGGGCGUUAAGUUGCAGGGUAUAGACCCGAAACCCGGUGAUCUAGCCAUGGGCAGGUUGAAGGUUGGGUAACACUAACUGGAGGACCGAACCGACUAAUGUUGAAAAAUUAGCGGAUGACCUGUGGCUGGGGGUGAAAGGCCAAUCAAACCGGGAGAUAGCUGGUUCUCCCCGAAAGCUAUUUAGGUAGCGCCUCGUGAAUUCAUCUCCGGGGGUAGAGCACUGUUUCGGCUAGGGGGCCAUCCCGGCUUACCAACCCGAUGCAAACUGCGAAUACCGGAGAAUGUUAUCACGGGAGACACACGGCGGGUGCUAACGUCCGUCGUGAAGAGGGAAACAACCCAGACCGCCAGCUAAGGUCCCAAAGUCAUGGUUAAGUGGGAAACGAUGUGGGAAGGCCCAGACAGCCAGGAUGUUGGCUUAGAAGCAGCCAUCAUUUAAAGAAAGCGUAAUAGCUCACUGGUCGAGUCGGCCUGCGCGGAAGAUGUAACGGGGCUAAACCAUGCACCGAAGCUGCGGCAGCGAACGUAUCACCCAAGACAACUUUACGGAGUUGACGAUUGACGGAGCGAAGCGACGUCAAAGCGUUCAUUAAAGUCGAGUUGGCUUAGGGAUACGUUCGUUGGGUAGGGGAGCGUUCUGUAAGCCUGUGAAGGUGUGUCGUGAGGCAUGCUGGAGGUAUCAGAAGUGCGAAUGCUGACAUAAGUAACGAUAAAGCGGGUGAAAAGCCCGCUCGCCGGAAGACCAAGGGUUCCUGUCCAACGUUAAUCGGGGCAGGGUGAGUCGACCCCUAAGGCGAGGCCGAAAGGCGUAGUCGAUGGGAAACGGGUUAAUAUUCCCGUACUUGGUGUUACUGCGAAGGGGGGACGGAGAAGGCUAUGUUGGCCGGGCGACGGUUGUCCCGGUUUAAGCGUGUAGGUGUGUGUUCCAGGUAAAUCCGGUU